GUCUGGGCAGAGCAGGGGGGCCUCUGAGGAAGGCAGGGAGAGGGCAGGAGGACCUAGGUGGACUCUGAGGGCUCUUUCUCCAGAGCCCCCGCUGGAAUGCGGGUAGGGGGCAGCUCCUCUCUCCUUUGAGGCAUUUGUUCCGUAAAAACCAGCGUCUUCUUCUUACUCCUGAGAUUUCGUUUAGACCGGGUGCCUAAGCUCAUGUAAAUGACUUUUCUUCCCCGACUCCCUCACCUCCUGCACUUUAUUUUCGCUUGUUUAUUUGAAAAACCUUUAAUUAGGAGAAAUUUCAAACAUCACAAAAGGAGAGAAAAUAGUACAUCAUUUCCUCACGGUGUGCACAGUUUUCACAUCCCCGUCACGCAGACACAACCCCACCAGCACCAGCGCCCCUGGUCCCAGUUAACCCUCCAAUCCUUCCCCCUCCACCCUGGACUGUUUUGAAGAAAAUAAAGGACACAGUGAUUUCCUGUGAGCAUUUUCAGUAUGUAUCUUUACAAAGGACUCUUCUGUUUUAAAUACAUAACCACAAUGUCAUUAUCACAGUUAAAAAAUUAACAGCAUUUCCUUAAUGCAUCCAGUAUCUAUUCAGUUUUCAAAUAUCCCUGAUUGACUCAUAAAUUUCUUUUACAGUUGGCUUAUUCAAAUCAGGGUCCUAAUUCUUUCGUGUACUUUCCAGGGGCGCCGGGGUGACAGAAGGUAAGUGCUGCUACACAUUUAGCAGCUGGAAAACUACCCCCGCAUUCAGGGAGCAGCCCAACCUCAGUAAAUCUCAAAUCUCUCGCUGAAAACGGGGCCAAUUCUGGGGCUUUACCAGGGUGACUGAGAGGCUGAGGGAUCGUGCACAUGAACCCCCAGCCCUGUCUGAUACAUAACAGACACUCAGCAAACAGUAGCUGCUGGGAUUAUUCUUUUUCCCGGAAACCUCUGAAGGGGAGCAGAGCUGGGGAAGGCGAAACAGAGCUGGCUUUCGUCCACAAAACAAAAGGUUCCUGGCAGUCCCGACCCCUGUGUGGUGAGGACAGCGCAGUACGUGCGCCACAUCCCAACUAAAGCAGCCCGCAGUCGGGGGCUGGGACCUCCCGGCCGGCUGGCAACUCAGUCAGCAGCCCCUCAGCACACAAGCCUACCCUGUGGCCACCCCGGACAGCCUGACCGGGGACCCCACAGGUGGCCAGUCCACUAGAUGUCACUCUCUGCUGUGAGUCCAGGAAGGACCACUACCCCAAUUGCUCUGGCCACCGCCCAGCCCCGGGUACCGCAGGGGGAUGCCACCCCUCAAACGUUGCAGACAAUUUCUAAAAAGCAUUUCUCAACAUGUCAUGCGAGAUGCAGUGGUUUUCUCACUGCAUCAGCCCCAGCCCGACCGCAGAAGCAGAGGGAAUGAACAGUUAAUGACCAUUAGCUCAGGCCAGGCACCGAUAUGCCUAUUCUCUCUUUAAAUCCUCACCCCGGCUUGGUCUCCUUUCCCUUUAUUUUACAGAUGAGAGGACUGGAGAGGUUAGUGACCUGUCCAAGAUUGCCUAGGAAGCAGGACCUGGGACUCCGACCCAGGACGGUGCCGAGGCCCAGAGGAGAUAAUGGAUGCUGAGGCAGGAGGCGGGCGCCGUGCUGGGGACAGGAGGUGCAGCAUCCUGACCCUCUGCUCCUUGGAGGGAACUUGUGCUUCGACUUCAUGCUUUUCAUUUUCACACCAUCUGGAGGGAGGGACGACUGCUGGAGUAUUGCCACCUGAGGCCUCGCAAGUGUGACAAAGGCAGAGGCCGGGCCCGGGCCCCGGUUCCCAGCUGAGCGGCAUUUCCAAGCCACCGCCUGAGUGUGGCCGAGUGGAGCGCCUCCAAGCCGGCGUGCCGGGCACGUAGCAGGCUGUUCCUGGGGCAGGAGGGAGCUGGCUGUGUGCUGUCAGUGGACUCCAGGCUCCUUUGCUUUCUGGAAAAUAAUUUGAACAUCAAGAGUCUCAUGGCACAGACUCCCAAGGGCAACGCCGUGUCAUGAAAUGAAUUUCCUUUUCCAAGGCGCAGCCUCUGGCUGGAUUACUGUCUUCCAGACUGGAGGCCCCGAAGUGGGCCUAAUAACACCGUGGAUGCGGAUCUGGACUGUGGCCUCUGUGGGAAAUGAGCCGUGGACCGAAGCGAUAAUGAGUGCAUAGAGCUGACUGACCAGUCUAGUGAGGAAGGACUUCCCCCAUGGGUAAGGAGCGUGGAGAAUGACAAAGUCUGCAUUUUACUUCACCAAGUGAAUGUAUCACAGCUGAUUUAAUCAUUUUCUAAUGCAAAAGAUCAUGACUUUUGUACACUCUGGGUAAGGAGAGGAGAGAUUGAUAAUGACCACAGGACUGUGGGCUCAUUCAUUUUCUAAGAAAAAAAAAAUCGUGACAAUUAGCUCUGUGGUAAAGAACACAGAGACAAAUGUAAGUAAGACUCCAAGUUCCCAUCCUGGGUUGAGAGGUUUUGUUCUGGAGUUUUUAGUGGUGCUUGAAAAAAAUCAAUGUCUAUGUGAGAAAAAGAAUCCCCAAGUGUGGACCAGUGAUGGGAAUAUGUUCUAACUCAAAUUGAAAUUCAGUCUAAUUUGGCACAAAUGACAUUAUUCAAAAACAUGUAAUGGUCAUUUCAUUCAUUUUCAGAAACUGUUUAUGCCACUGCAAACAUCCCCAGUCCAGGCAGAUAACCUGGAAGACAAUGGGACACGCUGUGUCAGUAAAGGUGGUGGUGUCAUCACUUUCCAUUCAGUCACCCCUAAAUCAUGAGCAAAUUAAAUAAGAAAAGUCACAGAAGGACCUGUGGUGAAUGUGGAUUUGAUGGGAAACGUGGCUAUUUACCGAUCACACAUGUUCUCUGAGGUCCAUUUUCAAGGGAGAUCUAGCCUGUUUGCUCUAUGGGGAAGAGCCACUAGUAGCAAGAUCUUGUUCCUGGAAUCUCAUGAUCCUAUUGAUUCAUGGGUCGGGAAAUAGAUAAAUAAAUGAAGACGUGCUUGGACCAAUGAUGAGUACCAUGGGGUAUCUGAAACUGGAGUUUUGAUUAAACCCAUAUGCAACUCUGAGGUCCAUUUUAAAGAGACACGAGGUUAUUCCCUCUGUGGAAAUUGAGCCUGUGGUCAUUUGUGCUUUUGUGGUUUUUGAGCUGAUUUUAUUUUUAUUACUUAACCCACAAAUUUAAAAAUACAUCAAUGAAUGAAUGAAAGAGGAAGAGAAAUCAUGUACUCAUUUUUAAGAAAUAGAAUGAAGGGAUUAUUAAUAAAAUCUGAUGGAGAUUAAAAGUCCCAAUAAAUUCAUAGUCAAGGUUCUCACUACUCUGGAAGGGAGUGUAUGACCAUUUGUACGUAACGGCCUAGAGUUUCUGUGCUGUGUUGGUGGUAGCAGCUGACUGUUUUAUGAAGGAAAUGAAACACCUUUACUCAUAUAAAUAGUUCGUUCAAUAGCCAUAUUAUCCAGAGCUCCACAGAGACCGACGAUGAGAAUAUAUUUUGUUUGUUUUAUUAUGUUUAUUGAGGUAACACUGGUUUACAAUACUAUAUAUGUUUUAGGGGUACAAAUGUAUGUUAGCACACCACGCCUAAAGCAAAGCCCCCAUGAUCUCCCACCCCAGUCUAUUGGGCUCCCCACACUUUGCAUGCGUUCACCUGCCCUUCCUCCCCUUUGGCAAUUAGAUUUCAAGAGUUUGUCUUGGUUUGUUAUUGGCUGUUCCUUUGCUUUGUUGUUUUAUAUUUGACAUAGAAUGAAAAUCAUCUUGUUUGUCUUUCUCUUUCUGAAUUAUUUUUCUUAGUAGAAACCAUUCAGUUCCAUCCGUUUUGUUGCAAAUGGCAAGAUUUAAUCUUUUUCUUUUUUAUUACUGAGUAGUAUUCCACUGUGUGUAUGCACCACAUUUUCUUUAUCGUCUCAUUGUUUGGCAUUUAGAUUGCUUCCAUAGCUUGGCUGUUGUAAAUAGUGCUGCAGUGAACACAGAAGUGCAUGUGUCCCUUUGAAUUAGCAUUUUUGCAGUCUUCGGAUAAGUCUCUAGGACUGAAAUUGCUGGAUUAUAUGGCAGAUGUACUUUUGAGAUUUUUAAAAGAAACCUGAUGAAAAUGUUUAAAUCUAGUAUUUUUUUUUACUGAUGCUUAUUAAAACAAUAAAAAGCAAUCAAUCUGUUUACAAUAAUGACCGUGGACAGACAAAAAUUUUGCCCAGAGUUUUUGUUCAGUGUAUUCUAUAAUUUUUGUAUAAUUUCAGUAUAUACUGAAAUUUUUGUAUAAACAAAAAGAUAUAACUUUAUAUCUGAAUGUACUUUUUAAAAGUCAGCCAACCAUGGACCAAUUAGGAACAUAUAUUUCCAUGUAGGGAUACUGAUUCAUCUUGUUUUCCAACAACCGAUACUCUGUGAAAAAUUCUAGACUCUUCUGUUUUUUGAAAGGUGCACCUGGACAUUUCUAAGUAAAGUAAUUUGGUUCCAGGUUAGUGUUUAUCCAUUUUGAGGUUUCUUGGAAAAAUGAGGACAUGGUAUUAUUAUUCCCAGAAUAAUAAAAUAAAUCAGUGAGUGAAUCUCUAAAGUGCAUAUGGUGGGGAAUGGAUGAGAUUGUACCAUGAAACAAAUUUAGUAUGUCCAGUUUUGCACAAAUAGUCCAAUAAAGAAUGAUAGACUAUCAUCUUUCUCAUUAGCUCUCCCUCUGAAGCAGCAACUUGAGUCAGCUGUCUCUGUUACAGUUUUUAUUUCAUGUAGAGCAGUGACUUCAAUAGUAUUCAUGUUAUUUAGUAUAUUUUAAGUAAAGAAAAGAGUGUGAUUCUUGGGAAAAUGACCAGGAUAUAAUAUGAAUUAGGGCUUGUGACUCAUCCAGCCCUGGACAAAGGUCAGUGUUGAAAGGAAUUCUGUCUUCGGUGUUUUUAAACAUAAGCUUUCACCCCCUUUAUAGAAAGAGCAUCACACAGCUGAUUUAAUCAUUAGCUAAUUGUGAAGACCUUGGCUGUGACUUCUGGGAUGAAGGAGUCUCCAAACUGAUAGUGAACACGGGACAACUGAUCUAAUCAUUUAAUACAGAGUCGUUAUGAGCAAGAACAGAAAGAAUAAUAUAAACAUCACGGUGGACGGUCACUGUCCGAUUGGCUCUUGAAGACCGUAGCUGUUACUUCUGUCUAUAAGAAGCAAUAAUGAAGGACAUAAUCGAUUUAAUCAGUCUCUGCUGGUGAAGACCUUGGAGCUACCUUUGUAGGUCCUCGCUCGCCAGGCUACAUGUAGACACAUGUGGCUGGUGGCCAUGGUGCUGAGGCGGCCACUGCUGGUGGACAGCUCCCCACCGAGGGAGGAUGCAGCUGCAGUCGGGGUGUAUGAAGCGGGGUGUUGUCUGAUCCAUAGUCCACUGAGGGCCGCUGCCCAAAGAUCUGAUUGAUUGAGGAAAGGCCUAAUAUAUGGAGAAAGAGCCUUUCAGCACAUCUCGGUCAGAGCCAAUGAGCUCUUCGGAGUUUUUGGCUUUUGUAAUGGAUGCUAACUUGAGCCUUGUAAUGGGUCGAUGAGCGCAUCAAUGAACAGAAGUAGACGUGAAGAGAAAGAUGCUUCAUCUGGAUCGAUGAUGAGUACCCUGGGGUGUCUGAAAUCAAGGAUUUUGAUUAAACCCUGUAACUCUGAGGUCCAUUACACAAAAAUUCCUGUCUGUUCCCUCGAUGGAAAAUGAGCUUAUUGCAGGAGUUAGAAAUAUUCAGGAGUUUGUUCUUGGGCUUCUGAGUACUGUGUUAUUUUCAGUAAGUCAAAACAUGAAUAAAUAAAUAAAUGUAUAAAUGAGCGAAAACAAAAUAGGUCACUCCUGGUCCAAAAUAUGAGAGUAUGUAAUGUAAUAGAGGUAAUCUAAAAAUCAUUAUUAAUACAUUUCUGAAGCACUGAGGUCCAGUAAAAUAAACUGAUUAAAGGUGACCCUUUGGUUAAAAAGCAUUAAGAUAAAUGAAUAUAGGAGCCUGUGUCAUUUUCUGGGUUGGGUAGUAUGGGUAGUAGGUGUUUUGUUUUGUAAAGAAAAGGGCAAAACAUUUUCUCAAAUUAAAUUUUUGAUUAAAUAACUACAUAAUUGAGAGAGGGUUUAUAGAUGAGCCUCUGCUGAGAACAUGUCACGUGGGCCAGUUACGAUUAAUGUGAAGAUCUCCACUUUCAAAAAAUUUGUUAUUGAAGUAAAAUUGCAUUAUUCACUGUUUUCUAAUAAGAAAAUGAGAACAAAUUAUCUUUUCAUCUGUGCCUCAUUAGCAUCUGGACAUGCAUUACUAUUGUCCUGUUUCUGGGGAAUCAUGAAUACCCAAUAAUGAUAUUAUUGUAAAUGUGUAAAAGAGUAAGUUAAUAUGAAUCAAUGGUUUGAAAGAUGGCAAAACAUCAUCUGUCAUGAAACAUGCAGUGUGAUUAAUCCAGUUCAGCACAACUGUUCUCCAGAUAAAGCAAACAGACCUGGGUUCGUACAUUUUUGGAGUGGAGAAUAUAUUUAGAUAGGAUUUUUCUUUCUGACUUGGUGCUAUAUCUUUUAAAAAUGGAAGACAAAUGACUCUGUGUGUAACUGUGUGUGUGUGUGUGUGUGUGUGUAUAAAAGUAGGGCAUAUGUGGAUAAUUGGUGAAAAUGUGCUUAAAUCGAGGCUGCACAUUAACCUAAUUCUUUCCAAGCAAGAUGCAUUUAGAAAGAUCUAGACCUCACCUAGGCAGGGAGCAUGUAAACAAACAUGUGGAAUAGCCAUAGUUGUCACUCUUCGCCAGUGCUUAUUACAUCAGUUAAAUUUAACACUUCAAACAAUCAAUUAAUCGAGAUGCUGCUCAAAGUUUUAAUAUACAGCAGGCACCAAGGUUUUCCUAGUAAGUUUUUAUUGACUUGAGCAUGAUUUAAAAAAUCUGAAUCCACUGUUCUGAUCUGUUGUUUAUAUUUGCUUUGCACUCCCAGAACGGAUACACAUUGAUUCAAUUAAGGAGUGUAGAAACUUCUAGUGAACACGCCUAAGCUGAUUUCAGCGUCUUCCUGGUCAGGAGGUCUGUGGGGCUCUCAUUGUUAUGCAGUGGACACUGUAGCAGGCCUUCCCUAGCUGAUCUAAGCAUCUUCCUUGGUUCCAAGCUGUUUUGUAGAAUGGAGACCAAGAAUGGAAGCACUGGAGCUGACUUCAAGAUUGUUCUGCGGUCACAAGCUGUCUGGUCGACUCUGUCUUUGGCGCACAGAAGAAAAUAAUGGACACACUCAAGCUGACGUAAGCUCGUGCCGAGGUCCACUGUCUCUACAUUUGCCUGUAGUGCAUGGAAACCAACAAUGGGCGCCCCCGGCUAACUCCUGCAUCUCUUGUGUUCGUGUGGCCUGUGGUUCCUCUUGUGUAAUGAGCGUAGAAACUAAUAAUGGAUAGACCUGAAGUGACGCAAACAUUUGUGGGAGCUCCCUGGAUGCCCAGUGUCUGAAAGCUUGGAGACCACAAGAAAACACCUGCGCUGAUCCCCAUACCCUCCACAUCAGGCUCUCCAUGGGUGUCCCUGUGCUCGGAAGCAUUGUUCCCAGUAAUGGACUCAGUCAAGGUGACUCAAACAUCCUUCCUGCCUGCAGCCUGUGACUGGGUCCACGUGUUCGCAUCCUCGAGACCCAUGGCGUCCCACGGUUGUGGCUUGGUGGUUACCGCUGGCCGAGUGUGGAGAGCCGGGUGAGUACAGACCUAGUUGUUGUCUCAGCUUGGGGCUUUUAUCAAAGGGUGUUUGCUGCACUAUAAAAAAAGUGAAUUAUUUUCAGUGACCACGACCCAUGUGCUCCAAGUACAAUUAAGAUGAACUUUAAAAUAUGGUUAUAUGGAUAAUUGCUAAUCCAUAUUAUGAUUAUCCAUGUAAUUAUUAAUGAUGAAUCCAUAUAGGAAACACUGAGGCUGAUUAGUGAAUGAGACAGGGGCCCGAGUGGAGUAAUUCUACAGAUUCCAUAGCUGUUAGGUGAUAAGUUAAAAGGUAAGACCAGGCAAGUGUGUUGACUGAGCUACACACAUGACUCUGAGGCUGUUGACUGGAGCCAUCAAGAGUAUUCACUUGUGGAGAAUGACUCUGCACACAGCUGCUAGGGAGAGUAAAGUUAUUUAAAAAUUUCAUGGGAAUGUUAUUAUUAGUGACAUAAUGCAUUAAUCUAAACAAAAUUGGGGCCCAAUAGAACAUGGUGGAGGAUUGUGGGGGCCCUGCUGGUGGGCAGGCUUGAAAGUCUACAUUGCAGAGUUUGAACCCCAGGAGCAGAUACAAAGAUAUAAACCUACUUUACCUUAAUUGGCAAAAAAAAAAAAAUUGGGAGUUAUCAAAAGAAAAAAAGAGUUACUAUAGAUUAAAAAUCGGUAAAAAAUUUUAGGUAAAUUAAAUUAUAAUUAAAUGAAGAAAAGGAAGAUGAAAUCUGGAUCAAUAUUGGGGGCAGGUGACAUAUAACUCAAGUAUAAGUGAUACUAAUCUAGAAUUUCCAGCACAAAAAGAAAUGUAGUCUGUUGCUUUUGGUACAAAUGGCCAUGUAAAUGGGCUUUGCAAGGGUCUUAGCCUUGGGCUUUUGAGUCAUAGGUACUGAUUAACUAUAAGUUCAAUGAGAUAAUAACCAAUCACAUAUGUGAGAAGUAGGCUGAAAUGUGGAAUGGCUGUAGCAGAUUCAAUGAAACAAACAUCAUUACAACUAAUUUCUGAAGAACUGAAGUCUGUUAAGGCCCCAUAGCUUUCAUCCCUUAGCAUAAGGGCCAUGGAGAGAGCCAUGAAAUUGUCAACACUCAUGUUGUAUGACGGUAUUCUAUUCUUUUAAUCAAGAAAUGGCAAAACCAUUUUUAUAUAAUUUAAUCAACUAACUAUGCAAAGAGGCUGAGCAUGAGCCAGUAACACAAAUGCCUCGUAUGGCAGCUGAUGGCUUUGCCGCAUCCCCUGUGUGAUGAUCCCAGUGUGUGUGUGAGUCACUUCACCCCUGUGUGCGUCAGACACACGCAGUGCACUUCUCAGUUAUUCCUCAAUAAAGUUGCAAAAGAAAGUCGAUAGUCCCUUGACCAUUAGGACAGGAAACACCUGGGCACAGUUACUAUUCAUCACUGUGAUUGUCAAGCUUGUAAUCAAAUUUACUGAUUUCAUCACUGCAAGUUAACAAAUAAAUUAAUAACUUGAUGAAAGGGGACAGAGCACCUGGCUAGUGGUGCGGAUGUGCUGAAACAUGAUUUGUAAGUUCCACUCCUGUUCUGUGCGUCCUAAGAGAAAAAUCAGCCCUUACCAGUCUGAGCAGGGGACACUGGACAGAAUACAAAUAGCAUUUCCCUUCUGGUUUUCUGGGAAGUUGAGUAUUUUUUUAUUUCGUUUACAAUGAAUAAUUUGAUAUGAAUUAAAACUUAUGAUAUGAUAUGAAUUAAACUUAUGAUAUGAAUUAAACUUAUAUGAAUUAAAAAUGAAUAGAAAUCAAAGCUGUUGGUAAAUAAAUGUGUAUCUACAUAAUUCAAACACCAAUUACAGAUCGAUGAUAAAGAUGUUAUGCAGCAAGCUUUUGUAAUUAAGCUCAGUAUAAUUAAAAGGCUUGAAAUUUUUUCUUCCCUUUCAUAGCUGCUUUUUCCAUAUUAGGUUUGCACUCACUGUACAUAUUUUCCAGGGCCAGACUUACGCUGGUCAUUCAGUGGACACCCCCAAGGGAGAAGUCAGCUGUUUCCAGUGUCUGGAUGUGGGUGGAUGGUAGCUUUGCGCUUGUCGUUGCAAAGCUUUAAUGAAUGGACAUGCGACGCGAACGCACCGUGCUGGGGAGGGUGUGAGGGGCGGUGUCCUGCACUUGUAGGAUUAACUCAUUUCUGCAUUAGCAAGUGCGGGUCAAAAGGGGACUUGGUCUGUUAUGUCUAUGGGAAUGAAGCCUUAGUCAACUUCAGUGAUUUUUGAGAACUUAAUUAAUUAUAGGUUCCUGGGGCUUGCAUGGAAAGGGAAUGAGAAGGGAAUGAUAAAAGGGUGUGUGUGUGUGUGUGUGUGUGUGUGUGUGUGUGUGUGUGUGUGUGUAGAGAGACAGAGAGAGAGAGAGACAGAGAGAGUAAGGGGGAGGAAGGGAGGGAGGGAGAGAAAGAGACACAGAGAGAGGAGAGAAGGAGGAGACAGAGGGAAAGAGGGCUGGAUGAAUUAAGACAGGUCUGUUAGCAGGUUUCCUGUACAACUCUGAAGUGGGCAUUGUGCUACCAAUAGGUCAAAGGUACUGCCUGGGCCACACAGGGCAGUGGCUCUCGACUCGACCCAGCACCAGAGGCUCCUGGCAGGGUGUGCUCGCAGCACCCCUGGCCCAGCGAGGCAGCUGGGGGCCCAGGCGUCUGCACUGUGUGCCCAGCCCUGCUCCCGCGGCCGUGGGCGCCAUCUUGGAGAGUCCCUGACAGCCCGGGAGCGGCUCGGAGCGGCCCCGCCCUUGCCCUGGGCCAGUCGUGGUUUCCAGCCUGUUCGUUUUACUGAGAAAAACAGGGUAACAAAUAUAAUCAUCAAUAACUAUCAAAAAGCCUAGCUGAAAGUAUAGACCACGGGUCAGUGGAGAUCAAAUCUCCUGAUUUUAGCAUCUUCGAGCUCCACAAGAUGGACGCCCCGCGCUGAGCGAGCAUUUUACAGAGUGACGCGUCUGGGCCCCGGAUGGGCGGGAGUCGAGGGCCGCGUGAGCGGGCGGGGUCUAGAGGGGCGAAGUCCAGCGGGGACUGGGCUGACAGGAAGAACAGACGGUCACACCUGGUUUGAUUUACUCGAAGAUUUUAAAAACAGGUUAAUAAUGUCAUUUACUUUGUGACUGUAUUUCCGUUCUAGGUUCCCUGCCGGUUCCUGAGUUCGAGGAGGAGGCUGUUUCCCCGGGAGGAAGGAGCCGGAGGAGGAGUGACGUCUUGCUGAUGCCAGGCGGCCAGCGUGCCAUGACCCUGAGUCCGGAGCAGUGUAGCGGUGAGUGGGGGUUGUGACACUAAUGCCCCAGGCUUGGUGUGGGUGCUUUGUUUAGGAGACCCACGGAUUGGUAAAAACGUGUUGAGUAUAAUCCUGGAAGCCAGUUGUGGGGAUCUCGUGUGACGUAUGUGCCUUGAUGGGUACCUGAUCCAUGACAGCUGUGCUCACUGGGGCAAGUUAUUCUGUAGACAGAUUUGGGGAUAUUCGAGAACCUUUUUCUUGCUUUUCCAUGAUGCAUGUAAGUUUAUUUUAUUAUUAUCAGUUGAAAAGUUAAAAAUCAACACACUUGCCAAUCCCUAAUCAGUGGUGGACAACAGUGUCAGGCGUCCAGGGACUGCCCAAAUAGGGGCCGCCUGUGGUCUGGCUGAAGUGGUCCUCUGGAUGGACUCAGGUUACAUGAAUAACUUAUUUUUGACUCAUGAAUUUUUAUUGUAUUAAUUUGAAAAAAAUCAUAACAAAGGCUACACAGUUACAUAAAUGAUAAAAAUGAAGAGAGGGAAGCAUUGUCCAGUUAUAAAAGUAUCAGAUGAGGCAAGAAAUACUCUUACUAUGGCUUUGAAAUACUAAUGUCCAUUAAGAGAGGAAAGGAUCAGGUAGGUCUGUCUUUAGCUGGCUGUCGUGUAGACAGGGGAGGAGCGGCUGUGUCCCUGCCGUGGGCCAGUUGUGAGUUCCAUGUUUAUCUUUAUUUUGGAGCUGAGACAACAGUUAUUACCACUAAUUAGUAGAUAUUUAUUUAUUUAUUGUAAAGAUUUAUUUUAUUAUGCAUAUUAGAACUGGGGUACAGGCCAGAGGUGGGGGUUGAGAGGAUUCACCAGAGACAGAGUGGGGAACAGAACAGGUGGACUGACUGAAAUACACUGCUGAGGGGAGCAGCGGGCAAGUCAGGAGAGGUCUGCUGCACUCUGGGUAGCUCCUUGGCUGGCCAGGCAUUGAUCUUGUGCUGCAGAGGCUGUGGACAGCUGCAUAGGCUGUGUCUUAACCCCUUUGCGCCACCAGGGAGUCCCUAAUAAAUAUUUAAAUGAAUAAGAAAAUGGAAGGUGGAAUGCCGUCAUCAAUGGGGAGAUGUCUCAGUCUUUAGCACCUGCUCUGCUGUGCUCCUCAGGGUGUGUGCUGUGCUCCAUAGGUGGUCGCUGUGCUCAUCAGGUGGGCACUUGCUGCUGUGGAAGGCCCCGUGGUGGCCCGUGAUCAUAGCUUUGUGGUUUGCCUCGACGUGUAUGGCCACCAUGAGUGGCAGGUAGGUGUCAGGUGGUUGGUUUACUGGAAUUCACUGAGGAAGAGCCUGUGAAACACAAUCAGGAGCCACCCACAGCCUGAUAACGAGGGUGGUGACAUUGACGCUGAGGUCAGAUAGAGACAGAGCCAGUCUCUGGGAAGUAAUUCUAUAAACAGAGGUCAAGCAUUCUCGAGAAACUGCUUGGAUUUUUGUAAUUCAUGUGAGUUCAUUUUGUUAUUUGCAAAUUAUUAAAUUAAUCUAAACAAAUAAGAAAUGAGGGAAAAGCAUGGGCUGGUGAUGGUGGCUGGUUCACACAUGCCUCCCACUGGCGGACACUCUUGUACACCUGGACGCUGAGUCCAGUGCUGCCAGGGCCUGGGACAUUCUGCCUGUCUACAGUGUUGUAGACAUCUGUCAGGCAUGUACCAAGAUCUUUUUCUUGGACUGGUGGCAUGGAUUUUUAAAAAUAUUAUUAUAAAGUGAUACUAUUGGAUAAAGAUGGAGAAUGAAGCAUUAUUUAUUGUUUAAAAAUAUGUCAUCAAUAAAAUUAAUAUUAAAAUAACCUGGAAUGAAUAACAAGUGGACUGAUUGGAUGAUAUGCAUUGACUAAGGAUACUAGAGUGAUAAAUAAUAAUCAGUUAUUGACAAACUGGAUGUUUGUUUCAUAAAGUGGAAAGGAAAUAUUACUAUCAAUGAGCAAAUACCUGAAUGACCUUAUCAUGGUGGAAACUGCAGAUUAAUGGAGAGAAUGUCUCUAUCUUUUUAUCAUUUCCUAUGGUUUUUGUUCCUUCAAAAUAAAGGCUGGAGCGGACUCUAGCUUCUGCCCUAAGAAGGAUGUCUGUUUGUCUGUGUGGGGAAGACCAGGUGAGUAAAUGGUCAAGAUCUUGUCUUGUUUGGGUAAUUUAAGUUUACACAUGCUGUUAUAAAAUUAAACUAAUAAGAAAUUAACCAUUGCCCAAUAAUAAAUAUGAUUAACAGUAUAAGACACGAGAUCUCUUAUCAGAAGAGAUGCAGUGAAUUGGGACGUGAUUGUGUAGAUGGGUGGCAGGGUUAUUCAACUCGUUCUUGGGUAUUUCUUGGGAAUCAUAUAUUUAUCUCAUUGUUAUCAAAGAAUUAAUGAUUUAGGGCCUCCCUGGUGGCGCAGAGGUUAAGUCUCAGCACUAUGAAGCUAUCCGCAGCCACUGCGGUCUGAGUUCGAUCCCCGGCCAGGGACCUGACCCACAGGGCAAAGCAGACCUCUCCUGUCUCCCUGCUGUUCCCCUCAGCAGUGUAUUUCAGUGGUUCUGCCUGCUCUGCUCCCCACUCUGUCUCUGGUGAGUCCUCUCACCCCCUGCACCUCUGGCCUGCACCCCAGCUCUUGUAUGCAUAAAUAAAUAAAUCUUAAAAAAAGAAUUAAUGAUUUAAUUGAUAUAAAUGUAGACAUGUGGGCCAGUGAUUGAGUGCUGACGUAUGCAUCAGCAAUGGUGACAAUCCAUGUGUGAGAUUGAGAAUCAAAACAAAAACUAACCCCUCCUUUGGAAAUGAGCUUUGAGAUAGAUUUCAGGGUUAUAGAAAGAUCCUGCUCUUAUUUUAGAGUCAUGUACUUGAAUUUAUUAUUAGUGGAUCGAUGACAGAACAGUUAGAGAAAGAGAAGUAAAGAGGAAUCAUAGCAUUGCCAAGCCAUGACCUACGAGGCUAGGCAAGAGAGGUUGAUAAUAAGAUCUGAAACCAUGAUGCCCAUUAAGAAACUAAAUGCAUCCAGGGUGUCACCUCUUCAGUUAAGGAUCAUGUAGACACAAGCAAUUAAGAGUCAGUGUUAUUAUUCUGUGUCAGUUCCAAGUUUGAGGUGGUUUUCUUUGUUAAUGGAAAUUUAUAAGUCAUGAAGGAUUAGUAAGUACCAAAGAAACUCAGUGAGUGAAAUGUGUAAGGAAGGUUCCAGUGGGAAUUAGGUUUCAUUAUUAUUUUUUUUUUCACCUGCUCUGCUUGGUCCAGCUGGAAUGGAUGCACCCCAGGUGGUUUCCACUCCGUCCAUUGCCAAUUGAUGUUGCUCUGUGCUAGGAACAUGGAGAUCAUGAUGGACCCCCUCAGGAUGGACACCCUCAGGUUGACCUGAGUGUCUUCCGUGGUCCUAAUCCCUGUGGUUGUAUCCAUGGAGACCAUGUGAGUACUAGUCAUAUUUCUUGUCUUGGAUUGAGUGUUUUUUUACUUUCAAUCCAUUAACUGUAUUAUUAAAAAUUACUAAAAAUAAUCAAGGGAGCCCCAACAUGCCAGUAUCCAAUAUCAUUGAUGUGAAGCAAUGUGAUGUUUUAGUCCCUAUGUGACUAACUGAGUUCCAUUCGUGAGUUUGCUCAGUAGAAAAACUUGCAUGGAUGGAUGCCAGAGAUAUUGGAGGAUGUUAUUUAGGAGUUUUUGUCAUGCUUAUUUCUGUGCUAGUGAAUUAACCAGUAUACACCUGUAGAUGACAAAAGGAAAAGACUCACUCCAGGACCAGAGGUGAUGGCGGAUGGCGUGUGAGUCCCAUGUGGUGAAUGCCAUGGGCUGAAACGCUGAGGCCGACACAAGUGGCAUCUAGACUGUUCCUCCUGUAAGUCAGAUGUCAGGAAUCUGCAAGGAUCCUCUUCUUGAUCUGAGUGCUCAUGAGUGUUAAAUCUUCUUUAGAAAAGCAUGAGGGGUGGAAUUAAUUAAAAUUUAUAAAUAUGAAUAUAAAAUAUAGAUUACAUGUAAUUAUAUAGAUAUGUGUGUAAGAUUAGUAUUAUAUAUUAUAUGUUAAGAUAAUAGUGUUAUAUAUUAUAUAUGUAGAUUUAUAUAUAAUUAAAAUGUAUGAAUUAAAUUGGUAUGUGUAAAUAUAUAACAUACAUUGCAUGUUAUUACAAUUAUAAAAGCAUUGUAAGAAAAAUGAAUUGUCAUAGAAAUUGAAAGGGUUAAUAAAUGUACAAAUAGACUAUAUUUUUGACUAAGAGUAACAAAAGCAGUAAUAGUUAUAUUUCUUAGUGAGUUGCAAGUUUGAAGUUUCCGUUAUUAAGAGAAAAAUAAACAUUACACAGACCAGCAGGCCUCUAUGUGAUGGUGGGAUCGUGAGAGAUUGAGAGAAACACUGAAAUCUCUGUCUCCAAAAAGUGCCAAUUUAGCCAGAAGUUAGCCACGUCCCAGGUAAUAAGUGUGAUAGGAAUUUAUGCUGGUUGGUGGAGAAUGUGCUGACUUCUCACCAAUUCAUGAAAAGAUCGUGUCUGUGUGGGAAGUAAAUGGUUUUAUAGACAGUUGUUAGGGCUGGUUAGGGACCCUGUUCUUUGUUUCUGUGAAUCAUAUAUUGUCAUUAGUGAGUUCAUGGCUAGCUGGCAAGAUACAGAAAGGGAUAACCCAAAAAAGGCCCAAGCACGGGCCGCGGCUCACACUGUUGUCAGUGAAUCGGGGGUGGUGAGUGAGAUGAGGCCUGCGGAAAACACAAAACAUAGCUGAUGUUUUUAUUGGGAAUGACCCUAUAAAUGAAUGCUAGGCACAUAGAUCAUAUUCUAAUCUGAAGUUCAUAGGUUUAGAUUUUUUAUUAUUAGUGGAUAUAUGAUAGAACCAUUAAAUAAAUAUUGAAAGACAUAUUAAGAAGAGUAGGGUGACUCAUUCUCCAAAUUUGAACAUAGAUGGUGAGGAAAGAGAUAUCAUUUAUAAAAAUAGAAAACACUGAGGUUCAUUGAGAAAUGAAUGGGUUGAGGGUGUUAUCUCUGAUGAAGGAUUAUUGGCGCAGAGAAGUUUUGUUGUUCGGAGUCAGUUUCUUUUGUAAGGGGAAAAAUGUACAUUUGAUGAAAAAAUUAUCAACUACUUAAAAGAGGAAUAAAAUGUGGGCUGUGAGGAUCAAAGGGGAAAAUGUCUUAUUUUUGCUUUUUUCCGUCCUCUGCUCUGCUUUGUACUCCCAAUAUGGAUGCAUUGGAAUUGAUUAAGCGCCUUCCAUGGUCUGCACUGGUUUCUUCUAUCUGCUAGCAGCACGGAGGCCGUGUGAGUACUAGUCAAAGCAAUGGCUUAAUUUGGGUGUUUGACAUAAGAGCAUUAUUCAAUUUAAGUUUAUUAUGAAAGAGUGUUUAACAUAAUCAGAUUAUACUAAAUUUAGCCCAGUGACUAAUAUGGGAUUAGUAGGAAGCAUUGCACUGAUUCUUACAUAGAUGAAGAUAACUGAGGAGCAUGAUUCUAGAUACUAAUAAUUAGGGCCAUCAGGUCUAUUCUUGGAUUUUGUGAAUCAUAAGCUUUUAAGAUUAUUUUUAUUAAAUUGCAGAAUUAAUCAAUAGUGACAAUAAUUAAUCAAUAAUAACAAAUGAAUGAUGACAGAAUCGCAUCCCUGGACCAGUGCUGGUCACUGCUGGCAUGGGGGUCACCGAUGACGAACAAACGGACGUGUCUGAACUGACUUGGGCAGGAUCCCCGGCUCAGCUUUGUCACCUCCACUUUACAGGAGCAGGGAAGACCGACAACAAAUCACUGCACCUGAUUUCAGGGCUCCCUCUAGAAAUGCAUCAGCUCUGAGUGUUGCUUCUCCGUUACAGCUGCCUGGAGACCAGUAACUGCAGCUUGAGGUGAUGUCCGCCUGCCUGGGACCAAGGAGCAUCGUGUGCAUUGUUCCAGUGAAGACACCAAGUGGCCCUCAGCACAGACAGCGUGAGCCGACACUGCACACUUUGUGGUGAGGACGUCUGUGAGUGCAUCUGAGCUUGUAGCACAGAGACCAAUAGUGAUCACCUCAAGCUGAUGGAAUGUUCCUCCUUGGUCAUGACCUUGACAGUUGCCUCUGUGUAUUAGGACCAUGGAAACUCAUAAUGUGUGCUCUGGGUGAUUUUGACUUUUGUGGUCACCAUGAUUGUCAUGCUGGCUGUGUCUGAAUGAGAUGAAGAAUGGACAGAUUUGAGCUCAUUUCGUCCUAUUCUACGAAGGUGUGCUCUGCAAUCGCAUCUUUGUUAGAAGCACUAUUGCCAUAAUGGACUCGGUGGAGCUGACACAAGCUAUUCCCGUGGGCAUGAGCUCCAUGAUGGUCUCUACAUAAUAGGAGGAUGAGGAUAAAUAAGGGUCAUGUUCAAGCUGGUGUAAGCGUUCCUCCGUGGCCACAAGGCCUGCCUGCGGGUCUGAGGGUCAGGAACAAGGAGAGGAUAGCCAGCACCGUCCUCCCCACUGAAGGAGUCGCCUUGAUCCCAAGCCCUGGGCUGGCCUCUCACUUUCAGGAGCCUGGAGACAAAUGUGAGUAAUAAGCCCAGUUCUUGACUUGCUUCUGGUGUUGUGUUUAAGGGCAUCAGCACAUUAACAAAGAGCAGGAGCUAUGAACACUGAUGGUCAAGUGAGUCCUGGAGAGAAAUAUGGGAUCAGUAGGAGGCGAUACACUGGCUCAGCCUCAUGUCCACAGUGGGCUGGUUAACCACAGACGCAGAUAGAGGCCUGUGGGUCCAUGUCAGGGGUCACGAGGCCUUUGGGGUUUGUGACUGGUGGGAUUGGAGGUUUCAGGUUAGUGCGCUGGUGACUGAAGCAAUAAGCAAGAAGAAGUGGUGCAGAGAAGGUGGUCUUUCUGGACCGAUGAUGACAACUGCCGGCGUAUGAGUCGUGGAUCAUGAAUGGCCUGUGUCUGGAACUCUGAGGUCCGAGAGACUAGAACAUGGACACUGCAGCGACUGUAACAUCUCCCAGGAGAGCAGCCCUUGCAUCCCCUGCGUGUCGUAGGAGCUUGGCCUCCCCGUGAGUAACAGUCAGUGGUCUUGACUUGGUUUACAUAGCUUGUUUAAAGACAUUCAUUGUAUUCUCAGAACUUGGAGUUGCCAAUAUUGUCAGAUUGACAUGAGCCAUUUUGUUUGUUAAUCCACAAAUAUAACACUGAGGAUUGUUAAUGGAAGAUAUUACAGUGGAUAGCUUAAUGUUAGGGAUACUGAGGAUUUUUAAUUUAUGUAUUUUAUUAACACAUAAUGAAUAGCAAAGGAUACAAGUAUAAAAUAAAAGUGUGUCAAUAAUGAAUGCCCAUCACUGUUGCUGGCACAUGACAGACUUUACACACUUGUUUCUUUAAGGUCCAGCCCCAAACUUGUCCAGUUCCCUCCCCAGGUGUAAAGGCAUCCACCGGACAGGUCUUGUUUUUGAUCCUUGUUCACAAAUCUCAACAAUUUAUAGAAAUAUUUAUAUCAUAAUCAAUAAUUAUAUAAGUCAGUAAGGUGAAGGGAGUGGUGUAUUGUUCUUGAUAAAUACGUUGGAAGGUAAAAAUAAAUGUUCAGACAUAUUUCUAUUGGAUUAUAAAUAGACUUGGGUAUGAUGUCUUUGACUAAGUGAUUUUAUGAAAUGUCAUAGUCAGUUAUUACCUGACUCAGUUGUAUGUUUGUAGCUUAUUUUUGAUAUGAAAAUAAAUAUAUUAGCACAAAAUUCAGAACCAAAAUGACUAUGUAAAUGAAUGUUGGGUCUGCAGAAAGAACCACUCCACCAUUAUCCCCUUGCUUGGGAUUCUGCAGAAUGGAGGCUCAGCUGAUUUCACUCUCUAUUGUGAUCAAGAUUUUCAAGUUCCAUCCAUGUUAAGAACAAGACUAAAGGUUUACAGUCUCAGCACUGUCAAGCUAUCGCCAGCCCCUGGGACAUGAGUUCGAUCUCUGGUCAGGGAGCUGACCCACAUGGCUCAACAGACCUCUCCUGUCUCCCUACUGCUCUCCUUAGCAGUGCAUUUCGGUGGAUCCACCUUUUCUGCUUCCCACUCUGUCUCUGCUCUGCUCUGUCUGCCUCAGGAUGGAUGCAUCUGAGCUGAUUUAAGGUCUUCCAUGGUCACGAGGCCUGUGCUUGACACAGCAGGAGCUCUGGGAUCAGUGAAGAAGUGACGCAGAGCAGGGACCAUAUUGGAUCGAUGAUGAGCCCCGGUGGCGUACAAGUUGGAUUCGAUGACUACAUGUGAAAUCUGAGGUCCAGCACAGGAGACCCCGCCCAUCCCCAUUCUCUGUGGGACUCACCCACACAGACGUCAGGAAUAUAAAAGGAUGUUGUUUAUGAUCAGUCUUCACACGUGGUCGUUAUAUUAUUAUGAUUGGAUGAAUAAGUAUCUAUAAUUAAAUAUAUAAACAAAAUAAAGAUGAAUGGUGUGAAGCUUUGUCCAAUUAUAAAAAUAUAUAAUGAGGCAAGAUAGACUAUUAAUGCAAUAUCAGAAAAUUGACAUUUAAUUAGAAAUAAAUGGUAACUGACUGUUACUCCUAUGACUAAGGAUAAUAUGGACAUAGACACUGUUUGGAUUCUAGAUUCGUGACAAACAUAAAAUUGUUUGCUUUCUUAGGAGAAGAUAGAUUUAUACCCAAUUAGUGAUCACCCAAAAAACUAGUUACAUGAAGGGAAAAGCAAGACUCCUUAGAGAGAGUCUCAUCGCGUGUGACCACCUGCUCUGCUUUCUACUCCGCAGAGCCAGCACUGUCCUCCCCACUGAAGGAGUCACCUUGAUCCCAAGCCCUGGGCUGGCCUCUCUCUUUCAGGAGCCUGGAGACAAAUGUGAGUAAUAAGCCCAGUUCUUGACUUGCUUCUGGUGUUGUGUUUAAGGGCAUCAGCACAUUAACAAAGAGCAGGAGCUAUGAACACUGAUGGUCAAGUGAGUCCUGGAGAGAAAUAUGGGAUCAGUAGGAGGCGAUACACUGGCUCAGCCUCAUGUCCACAGUGGGCUGGUUAACCACAGACGCAGAUAGAGGCCUGUGGGUCCAUGUCAGGGGUCACGAGGCCUUUGGGGUUUGUGACUGGUGGGGUUGGAGGUUUCAGGUUAGUGCGCUGGUGACUGAAGCAAUAAGCAAGAAGAAGUGGUGCAGAGAAGGUGGUCUUUCUGGACCGAUGAUGACAACUGCCGGCGUAUGAGUCGAGGAUCAUGAAUGGCCUGUGUCUGGAACUCUGAGGUCCGAGAGACUAGAACAUGGACACUGCUGUGACUGUAACAUCUCCCAGGAGAGCAGCCCUUGCGGCCCCUGCGUGUCCCCUGCUUGGCCUCCCCGUGAGUAACAGUCAGUGGUCUCGUCUUCGUUGAGUGGUUUGUUCAAGGACAUUCACUGUGUAAUUGAAAUACCAAAUAUAAUAUAAUCAAGGAAGGGGAAAUAUGCCAAUAGUAUUAAAUAUGAUAUGAAGCACAUGUUGAUUAAUCCAUAAAUGUAACACUGAGCACAAUUAUUGAAAAAUGAGAUUUAUUUUAUGUGGAAAUUAUUUUACGGAUGCAUGUUAGGAGUGAUGAAUGAUCUGGUUCUUAUUUAAACAAUGAAUGUGCAUUUAUUGUUAUUAAUUGUUAUGAGAGUAAAAGGAAAGAGGGCUGAUUAGGAAUAUGUGUGAUGGUGACUUCUGGUGUCCGCGCUACUUGCAGUGAACUGUAUGCUGGACUCUGAGCCAACACAGGUGUGCCGUCCGGCCCUGUGUGGUAGGACCCUCUAGAGAGAGGUCAGCACGACCCUUAGAAUGUUUCUUGGCCUUUGUGUUCAUCAAUUUAAAUUAUAUUUAUAAAGUACCAAGGACAGACUACACAAGAAAUGCAUAGACGAAUGAAGAUGAAGCUGGUGGAUGCUAUUAUUUGAUAAAUGUGUAGCUUGGUGAGCAAAUAUCUUAUACAUUAAGGUGGUUAAUAGAUGGACCAGGAUUGUCACAUCGUUUAAUACGUUGAUAGAGAUAAUGAAAUAUAACCGUUGAUCAUUUCCACAGCUGCUGUUUAUUAAAAUAAAAGUAAAUAUUAUCACGACUAAUGAUGUCUAGUGACUGGAAAUGAGCGGUGGGGCUGUAAAUCAGGGCAAAGUAUUGUCCUUUCACCAGCACCUCUGCCUGGCAUUCUGCGGCCUGCAAUCCGGCUUAUGGCGCCAGAGGCAAGGCUGUUACGUUCCUCUCUGUUUUUCAAGAGACACCAGGUGAGUCGCACGCAGUCAAAGGCCUGGUCUUUGUUUGGGCUAUGUAAGGAUCAAAUCAAUAUAAUCAAGUGUUUGACUUAAACAGAACCAUACCAAUCAUAUAUAAACAUCAAGUAUGUGUAAUCAUCAAUUAUUAUAAAUGUAAGAAUAUAAAUAUUUUCAGUAUACCAAACUCCAGAAAUUGUAUCAUCAGUUGUUAUAAGCAUAAUGCUGACCUGAUACUGAUUCAUUGAUGCUGUGUUUCAUUCAUACUGAUUAUUGAAAGUCAUCUGUUCUCUAUUGGUGGUGAUUCCCCAGCUAGAAGUUAGGGAUAUUCACAUAUCCUGUUCUUCAGUUUAUGUGACUCAUGUAUUUAUUAUUAUCAUGGAAUGAAUUAUUUAAUAGACAAAGAUGCAGAUCAAAUGAAGACAAAGUGGUUUUCCAGUGAGCCGAUGUGUCACUCGGUGGGACGCACGGCCCCGUGCUGCUGGGGAUUCCCUCUCUGUGUUUGAUCCUGCAGACAGAUGUUGGGAAUGUACACAAAUCAUGUCCUUAUUUUGGGUUAAUAGAUUGACUUUAAUUGCUAUUAAUGGAUUAGUGAUAGAAACACUGUAGAAAUAUAAAUAGUAGAUGAAGAAUAAAGGUUGAGCCUGUGCAACUGUGCACAUGUAGUGAGGCAAGAAAUAUUAGUAAAUAUUGAAAACACUAAAGCUCAUUAAGAAAAACCUGAUUCAGGGUCUUAUCUGUUUAAAGAACACAGAGAUAUGGAUAGUUGUCAGUGUUACUGUUUGGGGAUCUCUCAAGUUUGAGGAUGUUCUUUUGUGAAGGAAAAAUGGUAUCUACAUUACCAAAAAUAUUUAGAUACCCAAAUGAUUCAGUAAAUGUAAUGUGAAAAUGAAGUACUAAUGGAUUUUUUUUUUUUUAAUUUUUAACUGUGCAUUGGUCCUCAUAAGGGCCACAUUGAACGGAUUCAAGAAUUUAGUCAUGGUGAUGGGCCCCAUGAUCGCAUCUCUGUGCCAGAAGCUCAGAGAUCCAGAGUGGACUCAGUGGGGCUGACCCAGGCCUCCCCUGUGGGCACGAGCUCUGUGGUGGUUUCUACGUUCAAUAGAAAGAUGAAGAUAAAUGAAAAACAUGUUCACACCAUGUCAGAUGAUUGGCUCCGCCCUGGCCCCAUGAUUGGUGGGUGGCAGCCAUCAGUGGGAGUGUCACCUCCUGUUACCCGCUCUGCUCUGCCCUCUCCAGCAGCGGCUCCCAGGCCCGUUCUUCUCCUGAACCAUGACUCAGCUGACCAUUCUUUGUGGGCUCUGGGGACAAAUGAUGGACACCUGCGACCUGAUUGUCCCUGGGUGGCCAGCAUGGUCACCUCUCUGAGAACCUCUCUGUGUUAGGAGCCCCGAAGCCAGUCCUGGGCGUGUGGAGCUGCUGUGGCAUCCUCUGUGGCCACGGACCCUGCCUUUGCAUCGAUGCUUCAUGAGUGUGGAGAGCAGUAUGCUGGAGUCGAUUGUAGCAUCUGCCAUGGUCAGGAAAUCCUGGGGCCUCUGUGUGGAGGACACGAGGAAUGUAUGCAGAGGAGCUGGUCCCUCUGGUCUGCAUCACCUCCCCGAACCCCACCCCAUCUUGGCACCCCUAGUCUUGGCGCCCCUGGUCUCGAGUGCUGUGUCUGCUGGAUGGGGUCAUAAUGGAUGACUUCAAACUGAUUUAAGCCUCCUCCCUGGCAGGGCCUCCUGGCCACAUCUGUUGUUGGAUCACAAAGACCUGUAAUGAGCACACCUGAACUGGCUUCAGGGUUUUCCCAUGGUCAAGAACUCAUGGUCAUUUCCAUUUGCUGGGAUCACGGGAACCACAAUGGACACGCGGGAACUGACUGACACGCUCUUUUGUGAUUGAGAGCCUUAAGGUACAUCUCUGCUUUAUCAACAUGGAGGCCAACAAUGGACACACUGAAACUGACAAUAAUUCCAAAGUGAUCAAGAUCUUUGUAGGCCAUUGGUGACGCGUCUUGGCUAAUUCGGUCGUCCUGCCAUGAAGACUUUUGCCUCAUUCCUCUGGGCAAGGAAUUGACUAUAAUGACUGCACCUUGGCUCUCCCAGUAACUUCAUGAUGAAGCGCCUCACUGUUAACCUGUGUCCCUGGGGGAGCAGAGAUCACGCUGAGGGAGCAGACCACACCCAGCCUCCGCGGAUAAACACCCAGCGGAGCGGCCGCCUGCGCUAUCAAGGCCUCUGUUUACAUGUCAUCACUGAGCUGCUGUUCCCAGGGGGCCAGAACUGGGUCAAAUUCUCUUUUUCCCCAGCCCCGGCCCAGCCCUGAGCUGGGCAGCACUGGCACAUCACUGCAGAGUGAAUGAACAAGUGGCUAAAAAUACUUGGUGCUUUUGUGGAAAGGCCUGGCCUUCUCAGAAUGGCCUGGAUGCUGUUCUGUGGGGGUGCGGUGUGUCAGUGGCCGUGGCAUCCUCCUAUGCAAGGCCACUUCCUCCCUGGAGUCCAGCUUCCUGUAUCCAGUGCCAGAGGAGAGACAGGAUACUGGCAGUUCUCACUGCCCUGGACAUUGGCCCAUCCUUGGGCAAUGUUGGCUUGGCCUGGUAGGUUGGGAGCCCUGGGUCUUCCCGAAAACUGCCCUCGCCUCUGCCAAGACAGUGGAGCCAAAAUAGCCAGGGCUGUUGUCGUGCCUGCAGCGAGCCCGGCUGCCCGCCUUCCAAGCAGAGCGGCGUCCUCCGGUUCUCACUGCGGGCCCACGCCGGGUGUGCGGCACCUCUGGGCCUGCAGCCUCAGCUUCAUCCGGUAGGUGAGGCUGUGGUGAGAGCUGCAGGGCACUCCCGACCCGACGCUGCCAUGUCCACGUGCGGCACCUGGGCGGGGCUGGAGGCUGUUACUCUUGGAUUUUCUCCAUCGCCACCCAAAGUGGCUAUGAUCAUCGGAUGUGACACCAGAUUCCUCCGUCUCAGAAGAAUGAGGAGUUCAGCUAAGUCUUGGGAAGAAGACCAGUUUGGAUGGACGGCCCAUCCAGAUCGAGCCCCUUCCAGGCAGCGUAAUGGGUCCUUCCGCCAGGACAGUCAACAAGAAAGCACUGGGAUGAACCAGGAAAGAUGCCCGUUUGUACCCCGGAGAAGUCACCAGAACCUUCCAGUUUCACGCCCACGUCUGAAAAAGGGAAGGCAAUUUCACUCAUUUGUUUAGUAAAAAUCUCAGGAUGUGAUCUGAGCUACACGCCGACCUGCGCCUCAUCGCGCCCUGCCUCUGCCGCGGCCCCUGCUGGGCGGGCUCAGACGGCACGUGUGCUCCCGCCCUUCUCGCCCCAGCAAGUCCCCUCACAUUCCACCAUGCAUCUGCCUUGGGCCCCCACCAAAUCUUCCCACUGCCGCCCCCACCUGCCUUCCUGACUCCCUCGUCAAGGGUGACCUUUCCAUCUUCCUUCCACCUGAGCCUUGAGCUGGAGCCAGGGCUGCCCACUUAGCUUCAGUUUCCCCAACUGUGAACACGGAGACAGGCUAAUGACACAAACCCCAUGGUCACUGUGCGUGAUGGCUCCCUUGGGGGAUGGAAGAACUCUCUGACUGACCACCCCCGCCCUGCCCCCUGCCCGAGCCUCACUGGGGCCAGUUGUUGUAUUUUCUCGCCCUGGAUCUGUUGCUUUCACCAGCACGCGUAUUUUCAACAUGAUCAAAUAAGAGUUGGCGGGAGCCGGCCCACAGAUGUCCCUGGUACUGCAGGACCUGUGACCCCAGUGGAGGGGCGGAGGCAGGCCUGGGCGUGUGUGGCCCGUGGGGCCCGGGCUCCACUGGGAUCCUGGCCUCUUGGUUUGUGGGCCCUCCUGGGGGUUCUCUUGGGAACCCGGCCAGAGCUCAGACUUCUUGAAAGGGCACUUAUCCAACUCCUCCCUCUUGGGUCUUCCCUGCGACUCUGGCCCACUGUCUCGUUCAUGCCUGGCCUCUCUCUCAGUGCCCUUUGCAUGGGCACCUGAAUCCCAUGCCCUGCAGGGAGCCUUCCCAAUUCCUAGCGCACCCUGGGCCCUACUCCUGGUUUGGGCUGUUCAUCUCACUGGUGGAUACUCCUCAGGCAAGGGGGCACUGUACUGGCGGUGUGGGGAGACAGGGAGGUGGUCCCCAAAGGCAUUAGCAUCCUCUUGGGAGUUACAAAGAAUAGGAGAUCACAGGCCCUGGGACCCCGGCUCCAAGUCCACUCUGCAGAUCUCCUGCUCCUCCCAGGGUUUGGGGCACUAGAAAUGCCCGGGCAGGGGCUGGGAGAGAGUGACCCCUCAGACAGAGGGUCCCCCCCACCGACCUCAGGGAGCACAGCCUCUCUGCCCCACCUUCCAUCUCCAGCUGGCCGAGUCGUUGGGGUCACCAUAUUUUCCACCUCACUGAAGCCCCCAUGCUGCAGGUGCACCUCAUCAUCCCUCUGACAGAGGGAAACCAAGGCCCAGCUGAACCAAGAGAGCCAGCUCGGCCUGUACCUUGGCCUCCAGGGGACAGGGCCAGGCAGUGAGGCAGAUGCCACCUGCCUGGCUGUUUGCUGGCUCCUUCCCCACGAUGGGAGGGCGCCACGUUUUCUGCACGAGAGUUUCUUUGCAGUUUGCUCAUUAGGAUGAAAGAGCAGAAACUUUCCUGGCCAAGUCCUCCCAUUCCUCACCAUUCAGAAAAGCCCCCUAGGGAAGUGGCUGGAAAUCUCCCUUCUUGCCCUGAGUCGCCCCAAAUGGCAUGUUUAAAAAUACAAAGCACACAGGCCCAGAGUCCAGAGCCUCUCCGACAGGGCCCCUGGGAGACUCAGGGGGACAGGGCCAAGCCCCCCAGCCUGCCUGAGCUCUCUCCCCUAGAACUUUCCUCUGGUGCCCUUGGCCCCCAACCCCACUAGUGCGGUCUCAGGGAGCACCUCAUGGGGCAUCCCAUCCUCUGAGCCAGCCCCUUCCACAGUGAGGAGAGCCACUGAGCCUGCCCCAGCACACGGGAUGGCCAGUCCUUCAGGAGCCAGGGGUGAGAGGGGGGAUGCAGUGCCCUGGUCCAGCCCAACCCACUCAGCCGGGGGCCCUGGGCUGUGGGAAGGUGCCCCCAGCACAGGCUCAGCGUCCAGUCCUGGGCUGCAAUUACAGAGGGUUGAUGGACAGCACGAGAUCCCUGAAAGGCAAAUAACGAUAAUCACGGUCAUUCCUGGACCCAACGCUGGGGCCAUUGAGCCAAGACUGUAAUCAGCCCCACUCUUUACACAGCUGGGCCUCAGGCAGCAGUGACAGUCGCAAGGAUCAGCGGGUUGAAUUGAGUCCAAACCCAUGCCCCACCCUACCCAUGUCCUUAUCUUGACAGCCACAGCAGCACACGUCACACACGGACACACAUGCUCGCACGCUCCUUACCUUCCAGGUGGCCUGACCUGCCCCAAAAGGCAGGGAGGCCCUCGGGUCUUCUCCCCAGGUGGGCCUCGCCAUGCCCCGCCCAGGUUGACUUCCUCAUGGUUGCCCACUUCAUGCCUCCAGCCAGCUCUGUGGCUCUAGGUCGUGUCCCUGCACCCCAGCCCUGCCCGGGCCACUGUUGGCUGCCCCUUGCACGUGCCUGCCAAGCUUGCAGGGUGGGAUGCAAGCCGCCUCCCCCGGCUGUGGUCAGCAGUGCUCAACAGCUGGACUCCAUGGGUGACUUGCCCUCUGCUCUUGGCAGGUACCCCAAGCUGUGGUGGCGUGGCUGAGCCCGAGGCUCCGAGGACAUGCGGCUGGAGGAGCGCUGGCCUGGCUG
Molecule: long non-coding RNA, 26574 nt
Organism: Talpa occidentalis (Iberian mole)
Lineage: Eukaryota; Metazoa; Chordata; Mammalia; Eulipotyphla; Talpidae
Exons: 52
Source: RefSeq, a predicted model, not a curated record